UCUCGAAAGGGGUGCUAAUACCGGAUAAGCCCACGGGAUCCUCGGAUUYUGCGGGAAAAGGUGGCCUCUAUUUAUAAGCUACCGUAUCAGGAUGAGUCCGCGUACCAUUAGCUAGUUGGUGGGGUAAUGGCCCACCAAGGCUACGAUGGUUAGCUGGUYUGAGAGGAUGAUCAGCCACACYGGAACUGAGACACGGUCCAGACUCCUACGGGAGGCAGCAGUGGGGAAUUUUGCGCAAUGGGGGAAACCCUGACGCAGCAACGCCGCGUGAGUGAUGAAGGCUUUCGGGUCGUAAAGCUCUGUCAGAGGGGAAGAAAUGGAAUUGGUUAAUACCCGAUUUCCUUGACGGUACCCUCAWAGGAAGCACCGGCUAACUCCGUGCCAGCWGCCGSGGUWAUWC
This 400-nucleotide ribosomal RNA is filed under the name uncultured Geobacteraceae bacterium. RNAcentral's name for it is "bacterial SSU rRNA". It matches the Rfam family "Bacterial small subunit ribosomal RNA", at positions 149 to 526 of the family's 1533-position model. The record is from RNAcentral. Lineage: Bacteria; Pseudomonadati; Thermodesulfobacteriota; Desulfuromonadia; Geobacterales; Geobacteraceae.